Molecule: ribosomal RNA, 573 nt
Filed under: Triticum aestivum (bread wheat)
Lineage: Eukaryota; Viridiplantae; Streptophyta; Magnoliopsida; Poales; Poaceae
Description: partial small subunit ribosomal RNA
Source: RNAcentral
AUACAGUGUCAGAAGUGUAAGCAGUGGGGACAUAUGAGAAAGGAUUGUCCAGAACUCAAUGGUGGGGCAUGUGCUAAUAAGGCAACUCAUGGUGAUGACUCAGACAACAGUAGUGAUGUCCUCAUAGUAUCAGACAGACGGUCAACCAAAGGUGAAGCGUGGAUGUUGGAUUCAGCUUGCUUUUUUCAUGCGACACCCAACAGGGAGUGGUUCUCUUCGUACAAGUCUGGUGAGUUUGGUUUAGCCUAUGUGGGCGAUGACACAGGUUAUCGUGUUGCUGGAGUAGGUGACAUCAAAAUCAAGAUGUUUGACGGAGUUGAGCGGAUGCUUCAGGGAGUCAGGCAUGUGCCAGGGCUAAGGAGGAAUCUAAUUUCGCUUGGUGUUCUUCAUGAUGGUGGUAUGGUAUUUCGUUGUGAUUGGGAUAAGAAGACCAUGAGAAUCAUAGAAGAUGAGGUGACCGUGAUGAUUGGAGCGAGGACGGCUUCGCAUCUUUACAAGCUGCAAGGGAGCACUAUUGCAGGUGGAGUCACGGAGACUGGAGUUGCGGGAGUAGCAGCGGGGUCUCACGGCGGC